GAUGAACGCUAGCGGCAGGCUUAACACAUGCAAGUCGAGGGGCAGCACAGGUAGCAAUACUGGGUGGCGACCGGCGCACGGGUGCGUAACGCGUAUGCAACCUACCCUGUACAGUGGGAUAACCCGGAGAAAUUCGGACUAAUACCGCAUAAAGAUAUACUGAGGCAUCUUGGGAUAUUUAAAGCUGAGGCGGUACGGGAUGGGCAUGCGUAACAUUAGCUAGUUGGCAGGGUAACAGCCUACCAAGGCAAUGAUGUUUAGGGGACCUGAGAGGGUGACCCCCCACACUGGUACUGAGACACGGACCAGACACCUACGGGAGGCAG
This 326-nucleotide ribosomal RNA is filed under the name uncultured Bacteroidota bacterium. Its description in RNAcentral is "bacterial SSU rRNA". It matches the Rfam family "Bacterial small subunit ribosomal RNA", at positions 28 to 351 of the family's 1533-position model. Lineage: Bacteria; Pseudomonadati; Bacteroidota. The record is from RNAcentral.